This is a long non-coding RNA of Syngnathus acus (greater pipefish), 565 nucleotides long. RefSeq lists it as uncharacterized. The record is from RefSeq and is a predicted model, not a curated record. NCBI's taxonomy places the organism in Eukaryota, Metazoa, Chordata, Actinopteri, Syngnathiformes, Syngnathidae. The transcript has 3 exons.
AAAAAGCAAUUGCGCCAAAAGUAUUUGAAAUUUGGAACAAAACAAAGAAAAAUGGCUUCAGGAGGUUCACUUUUGGGGUUAAAAUGUUGAAACGGGUUUAAUUGGACAAAAAAUGCAAACGUUAGCGCAAAUGUAUGUAUUUGGGCCACUUAGUGUUGAAAUAAGGUCACUUCCGGUUUGAAUCGGGUCAUUUCCGGUUUAUUUGGGGCACUUCCGGUUUAAAUUAGGUCACUUCCGGUUUAGCCGAGGUCACUUUCGGUUUAGCCGAGGUCACUUCCGGUUUAUUUGGGGACACUUCCGGUUUAAAAAGGUCGCUUCCGGUUCAUUUAGGGUCACUUCCGGUUUAAUUUUGGGUCACUUCCGGUUUACCUGAGGUCACUUCCGGUCUAUUUGGGGUCACUUCCGGUUUGAUAUGGGGCACUUCCGGUUCAUUCUGGGUUCAUUGGGGGCACUUCAGGGUCAAUCCAAGAUGGCCGCCACACUGGAAUUGGGGGUCAAGGGUUGAAUUGUAGAAGCAUAGUGGAAGUGGGGGUGAAUGGGAGUGAAUAUGGUAAGCAAAAGAUGA